This 23-nucleotide small nuclear RNA is filed under the name Arabidopsis thaliana (thale cress). Its description in RNAcentral is "snRNA_02089". Lineage: Eukaryota; Viridiplantae; Streptophyta; Magnoliopsida; Brassicales; Brassicaceae. The record is from RNAcentral.
CUUUUUCAAAGUUAAGAUAAGUU